This 1167-nucleotide ribosomal RNA is filed under the name Escherichia coli. Its description in RNAcentral is "partial 23S ribosomal RNA". It matches the Rfam family "Bacterial large subunit ribosomal RNA", at positions 129 to 1337 of the family's 2925-position model. Lineage: Bacteria; Pseudomonadati; Pseudomonadota; Gammaproteobacteria; Enterobacterales; Enterobacteriaceae. The record is from RNAcentral.
CAGUGUGUUUCGACACACUAUCAUUAACUGAAUCCAUAGGUUAAUGAGGCGAACCGGGGGAACUGAAACAUCUAAGUACCCCGAGGAAAAGAAAUCAACCGAGAUUCCCCCAGUAGCGGCGAGCGAACGGGGAGCAGCCCAGAGCCUGAAUCAGUGUGUGUGUUAGUGGAAGCGUCUGGAAAGGCGCGCGAUACAGGGUGACAGCCCCGUACACAAAAAUGCACAUGCUGUGAGCUCGAUGAGUAGGGCGGGACACGUGGUAUCCUGUCUGAAUAUGGGGGGACCAUCCUCCAAGGCUAAAUACUCCUGACUGACCGAUAGUGAACCAGUACCGUGAGGGAAAGGCGAAAAGAACCCCGGCGAGGGGAGUGAAAAAGAACCUGAAACCGUGUACGUACAAGCAGUGGGAGCACGCUUAGGCGUGUGACUGCGUACCUUUUGUAUAAUGGGUCAGCGACUUAUAUUCUGUAGCAAGGUUAACCGAAUAGGGGAGCCGAAGGGAAACCGAGUCUUAACUGGGCGUUAAGUUGCAGGGUAUAGACCCGAAACCCGGUGAUCUAGCCAUGGGCAGGUUGAAGGUUGGGUAACACUAACUGGAGGACCGAACCGACUAAUGUUGAAAAAUUAGCGGAUGACUUGUGGCUGGGGGUGAAAGGCCAAUCAAACCGGGAGAUAGCUGGUUCUCCCCGAAAGCUAUUUAGGUAGCGCCUCGUGAAUUCAUCUCCGGGGGUAGAGCACUGUUUCGGCAAGGGGGUCAUCCCGACUUACCAACCCGAUGCAAACUGCGAAUACCGGAGAAUGUUAUCACGGGAGACACACGGCGGGUGCUAACGUCCGUCGUGAAGAGGGAAACAACCCAGACCGCCAGCUAAGGUCCCAAAGUCAUGGUUAAGUGGGAAACGAUGUGGGAAGGCCCAGACAGCCAGGAUGUUGGCUUAGAAGCAGCCAUCAUUUAAAGAAAGCGUAAUAGCUCACUGGUCGAGUCGGCCUGCGCGGAAGAUGUAACGGGGCUAAACCAUGCACCGAAGCUGCGGCAGCGACACUAUGUGUUGUUGGGUAGGGGAGCGUUCUGUAAGCCUGUGAAGGUGUGCUGUGAGGCAUGCUGGAGGUAUCAGAAGUGCGAAUGCUGACAUAAGUAACGAUAAAGCGGGUGAAAAGCCCGCUCGC